This 269-nucleotide ribosomal RNA is filed under the name uncultured prokaryote. RNAcentral's name for it is "partial 16S ribosomal RNA". It matches the Rfam family "Bacterial small subunit ribosomal RNA", at positions 524 to 792 of the family's 1533-position model. The record is from RNAcentral.
UACGGAGGGUGCAAGCGUUGUUCGGAAUUAUUGGGCGUAAAGAGCAUGUAGGCGGCUCGCCAAGUCUGAUGUGAAAGCCCUGGGCUCAACCCAGGAAGUGCAUUGGAAACUGGCGAACUUGAGUACGGGAGAGGAAAGUGGAAUUUCGAGUGUAGGGGUGAAAUCCGUAGAUAUUCGAAGGAACACCAGUGGCGAAGGCGGCUUUCUGGACCGAUACUGACGCUGAGAUGCGAAAGCGUGGGGAGCAAACAGGAUUAGAUACCCCCGUA